This 245-nucleotide ribosomal RNA is filed under the name Uratelornis chimaera. Its description in RNAcentral is "partial 12S ribosomal RNA". Lineage: Eukaryota; Metazoa; Chordata; Aves; Coraciiformes; Brachypteraciidae. The record is from RNAcentral.
CCCCCUUGCUAAAGCAGCCUAUAUACCGCCGUCGCCAGCCCACCUCCAAUGAAAGAGCCGCAGUGGGCACAACAGUCCUAACCCCACUAACAAGACAGGUCAAGGUAUAGCCAAUGGGAUGGAAGAAAUGGGCUACAUUUUCUAAAUUAGAAAAUACGAACAGGGGCAUGAAACUGCCCCUAGAAGGCGGAUUUAGCAGUAAAGAGGGACAAAAGAGCCCCCUUUAAGCCGGCCCUAGGGCACGU